Molecule: transfer RNA, 69 nt
Filed under: Heteropsylla cubana
Lineage: Eukaryota; Metazoa; Arthropoda; Insecta; Hemiptera; Psyllidae
Description: tRNA-Ala
Rfam family: tRNA
About the family: Transfer RNA (tRNA) molecules are approximately 80 nucleotides in length.
Source: RNAcentral
AAGGGUUAAAGUUUAAAAUUAAAACAUCUAAAUUGCAAUUAGAAAUUACAAUUAAAUAUUGUUAACCUG